Molecule: ribosomal RNA, 301 nt
Filed under: uncultured soil bacterium
Lineage: Bacteria
Description: bacterial SSU rRNA
Rfam family: Bacterial small subunit ribosomal RNA
Source: RNAcentral
AGGAUGAACGCUAGCGGCAGGCCUAAUACAUGCAAGCUGAACGGUAAAUAUUGUAGCAAUACAAUAUGAGAGUAGCGUAAGGGUGCGUAACACGUAUGCAAUCUGCCCUGUACAGGAGAAUAGCUCGGCGAAAGCCGGAUUAAUGCUCCGUAAUAUUAUGGUGUGGCAUCACAUUAUAAUUAAAGUUGCAAGAUGGUACAGGAUGAGCAUGCGUCUGAUUAGCUAGUUGGUAGUGUAACGGACUACCAAGGCGAUGAUCAGUAGGGGAACUGAGAGGUUGAUCCCCACACUGGCACUGAGA